Molecule: ribosomal RNA, 325 nt
Filed under: uncultured eukaryote
Lineage: Eukaryota
Description: partial 18S ribosomal RNA
Rfam family: Eukaryotic small subunit ribosomal RNA
Source: RNAcentral
CCCUUAGAUGUUCUGGGCCGCACGCGCGCUACACUGAUGCAUUCAACGAGUCUAAAACCUGCUCUGAUAGGGGUGGGUAAUCUUUUGAAUGUGCAUCGUGAUUGGGAUAGAUGAUUGCAAUUUUUCAUCUUCAACGAGGAAUGCCUAGUAAACGCAAGUCAUCAGCUUGCAUUGAUUACGUCCCUGCCCUUUGUACACACCGCCCGUCGCUCCUACCGAUUGAAUGUUUCGGUGAAGAUUCCGGAUAGGACUGAUUUGAUUUAUUUCAUUUCUGACCUAAAAGCUAUCUAAACCUCAACAUUUAGAGGAAGGUGAAGUCGUAACA